RNAcentral lists this ribosomal RNA (434 nucleotides) under uncultured bacterium. RNAcentral's name for it is "partial 16S ribosomal RNA". It matches the Rfam family "Bacterial small subunit ribosomal RNA", at positions 29 to 507 of the family's 1533-position model. The record is from RNAcentral.
AGCGAACGCUGGCGGCAGGCCUAACACAUGCAAGUCGAACGAACCUUUCGGGGUUAGUGGCGGACGGGUGAGUAACACGUGGGAACGUGCCUUUAGGUUCGGAAUAACUCAGGGAAACUUGUGCUAAUACCGAAUGUGCCCUUCGGGGGAAAGAUUUAUCGCCUUUAGAGCGGCCCGCGUCUGAUUAGCUAGUUGGUUGAGGUAAUGGCUCACCAAGGCGACGAUCAGUAGCUGGUCUGAGAGGAUGAUCAGCCACAUUGGGACUGAGACACGGCCCAAACUCCUACGGGAGGCAGCAGUGGGGAAUCUUGCGCAAUGGGCGAAAGCCUGACGCAGCCAUGCCGCGUGAAUGUUGAAGGUCUUAGGAUUGUAAAAUUCUUUCACCGGGGACGAUAAUGACGGUACCCGGAGAAGAAGCCCCGGCUAACUUCGUG